CCUUUGGUGGCAGGGUGGCACUGCAGCACCCUGGCCAGGCAGCACGCUGCCCUCUGCUCCCUCCAAACCCUGGCACCAGCUAGCUGCUGGCUGGGCAUUGCGGGUGUCCUGGCAGGAGAGGCCAGUCCUGGGUGCGGGGGGGGGAGGGUCUGUGUCAACUCCGUCCCUGUGUGCUCGCUCUAGCUGAAGAAAAGAACCAGAUUGGAGCAGUACCUGCACCAGAGCCUGCUGUACCUGCAGAGCCCGCAGGAGCCCUUGCGCGAGGUGGCUGUCAGGUUCAUUGGUGAGCCACAACCUGUCCGGGGGUCCCUCACUGUACCUCAGCAGCUUAGCCCCAGCCAUGGCUACUGCCAAAUCCACCGGGGAGCUGCAGAGCCCCAACUGCCCGAUGUGAUUGAUGUGGGGCUGGGUCCCUCAAGGCCACUUCACGCUCCAGGAGCUACCCUGGGCUCAGCCUUGCCCAGCGGGUCAGUGGGGGUGAACUGGGCUGCUGGGAUGGUCAGGUCAGCGGGAUGUGUGACGGGCUGUGUGUGCCUAGGGCUCGCUGGGCAGCAGCUGAAGGACGGGUGCGAGGAGGAGGUCCUGGUCAUUAAUGAGGCCCUUCAGAACAUGGAGAGUGACAGCAGCCCCCGUGUCUCCUCCCUGGCGCUUGAAAUGAAGCAGCUGCUGUAUGAUGCAUGGGAAGAGCCUUCUGCCAGUUCCUUCCUGCCGGCACUGUGGCACUGCCUCCGGAGGGCAGAGAGGAGGAGGAUCCCUAACCAGCUGGUCUGAUCCAGGGCACUGGACUGAGCGAGCUUCCUAUGAGAUUCUUCCUCCAAGUGCAAGGAAACAGCAAUAGAUAGUUUUCUGUUGACAUUUUUAAUUAUGUCAACAUAAUUUUUGAAAGAAAAUUUUUAUUAAAUUUUCUAUUGAAAUCUC
Molecule: long non-coding RNA, 918 nt
Organism: Pezoporus occidentalis (night parrot)
Lineage: Eukaryota; Metazoa; Chordata; Aves; Psittaciformes; Psittacidae
Exons: 2
Source: RefSeq, a predicted model, not a curated record